AGGAAGAGGGAGAUGGGGACUGUGCACAGAGCCAUGAAGAACCAUUUUUCUCUUCUGUUAGCUCGCUGAACUUGAGACCCAUGAGCGAUUCCUGUUUAGUACGGAAACAGAAGUGAGUGCCACCAUGUCCCCACUUUCUUGCAUCUACUCGUCUCAGUUCUCCACUUAAGCAAGCCCAGUUGUGCUGAAAGCAAGGACACCUGGGACUGCCUCACACUGACCCAGAGGACCUGCUGGCCAAGCUGUCGGUUUUCAUGCAGUUGUUUAUCUGGAACAAGGCACCAUGUUCCAGCAAGGGGCCAAGCUGAAGCCCUGCUCUCAAGCUCUGCUCCACUGUGUUCUCCCUGGCCGCCCUGUGGGGGUGUCAGUGGAUUCUGGACUUGACCUUAUCUGGAAACCAAUGGUGACGUUUACCUGGGCUAUCAGAAUAGCAAUUGGCUCUGCUAUGAACUAGGUUAUGUCUUCCCCACUCUAAUCCACAAGAUGCAAUGUUCAGUUCCCACGGGAGUGUAAUUGAGCUGGACCUCUCUGGGGAGCAGGG
Long non-coding RNA from Mus musculus (house mouse), 541 nucleotides. RefSeq annotates it as predicted gene, 31983. The transcript is spliced from 3 exons. NCBI's taxonomy places the organism in Eukaryota, Metazoa, Chordata, Mammalia, Rodentia, Muridae. The record is from RefSeq and is a predicted model, not a curated record.